GAUGAAGAACGUAGCGAAAUGCGAUAAGUAAUGUGAAUUGCAGAAUUCAGUGAAUCAUCGAAUCUUUGAACGCACAUUGCGCCCACCAGUAUUCUGGCGGGCAUGCCUGUUCGAGCGUCAUUACAACCCUCAGGCCCCCGGGCCUGGCGUUGGGGAUCGGCGGAGCCCCCCGUGGGCACACGCCGUCCCCCAAAUACAGUGGCGGUCCCGCCGCAGCUUCCAUCGCGUAGUAGCUAACACCUCGCGACUGGAGAGCGGCGCGGCCACGCCGUAAAACACCCAACUCUUCUGAAGUUGACCUCGAAUCAGGUAGGAAUACCCGCUGAACUUAAGCAUAUCAAUAAGCGGAGGA
This 352-nucleotide unclassified non-coding RNA is filed under the name soil metagenome. RNAcentral describes it as "partial contains 5.8S ribosomal RNA, internal transcribed spacer 2, and large subunit ribosomal RNA". The stretch from base 1 to 120 matches the Rfam family "5.8S ribosomal RNA", at positions 35 to 154 of the family's 154-position model. The record is from RNAcentral.